RNAcentral lists this long non-coding RNA (2856 nucleotides) under Homo sapiens (human). RNAcentral describes it as "HSALNT0046528". The record is from RNAcentral. Lineage: Eukaryota; Metazoa; Chordata; Mammalia; Primates; Hominidae.
AUGGACACUUAAUCAUGUAAAAAAGUUAUUACCAUAAGCAGCAGGGGUGUCUUCUAAAUAAAAUGUUUUUAAUGAAUUCUGUAAUGCUUCCAAUUUGCAAAUACAGUUGUAAUUAUCCUAGGGUGAAUUCUAAUUUAGAAGUCUUUCCUGGAACUAAGACUCAAAAUUAAGUCAUUAAAUAAAACUUCACACCUUAUACUCACCAUUUUGAUACUAGAAAUUAAUGAUUAAAAAUUUAGUACACUUAAUUCAUUAGGUUGUAAUAAAGCACCCCAUCUAACAGUGCCAAGCCACUUACACGGUCUUGCAGUAGUCACAUAAUUUAGAGAUCUAUUUAGCAGUUGAGAGGUUUAAAUAUUUCAAUUAAUAACAAGUGUGGAAAGAUAGUACAGGUUUGAUUUUUAUUUGGAGAUGAAAUAUCAGAAACAAUUAAUGUAAUUUCUGAUGUGUCCACAAACUGACACCUCUUUUGCAUCAUAAAUCACAAGUCAAAAAUAUGAGAAAACCAGGUUCUGGGGCCAAGAUGGCUGACUAGAAGCAGCUAGUGUGUGCUGCUCUCGUGGAAAGAAGGAAAAGUAACAAGUAACACUAGCUCUUCAACUAGAACAUCCAGGUGGACACAUUGGGAUUCAUCAAGGAAACAAUGUUACCCACAGAGAACAGAGAAGAGCAAGAUAGGACGACUGCCUACCUGGAACUGGCAUGGAGAUAGAGGAGACCCCUAUACUGUGGGGAAAUGAUGAGUGACUGAGUGAUAGUCUGCAGGGACUCAUACUUCUGCUACAGCCUUUGCAUCCCUGGGCUCAGGACAUUCCCUGUGAUUUCCCAACACAGGAGCCUCCACACCCACAUGAAGUGCUGUGGGGAGUCUGAGCAGACCAAGCCACACAGGCACAAGCAGAGUCGCAGGAGCCUUGGAUUCUCCAGCACCCCAACACCAGUAGCUGCAGUUCUGGCAAUGGGGGAGGCCAGGCUCCUUUGCAGACUCCCAGGAAAGGGCCUGAAUCUACAAGGCUGAGCAAUGAGGGACUGCAGGCCUCACCUCCACUGCAACUCGUAGGGCAGGAUACAGCUCACUGGCCUGGGAUGCUAAUGAGGUCACCCCAACCCUGUUUGAGUUCUUGGGCUGGGAGCAGCUCUCCACUUCCCUGAGAUGGAGGUCCCAGAGGAAGGGGCAGGCUGACAUUUUUGCUGCUCUACAACCCUCGGCCCUGUUGCCCUUAGGUUCAGGAGGAAAUGCAAUAAUAAUUAGGAAGUAACAUUGGCCCCCAGCACAGCACAGCAGUCUUACAGAAAAGCAGCCAGACUGUUUUACACACAGGUCCUAUCUCCACUAAUCUUCACUGGGCAGUGCCUCUCAACCUGGGCUCCCAGCACAAACACCCUAACCAUGCCUGAACACUGCAGUUGGUGGUGGCUCUGCCUUUCUCUAUGGAGGAAAUCCCAGAGACAACCCACAGCUCUCUACCAUUGCAACUGCUGUGGUACCAUCCUUACUACCCCUUGAGCUGGGGAAAGCACAAAGGGCCUGGUUGCUAUGCCAGGAUAUCUAGCAUGCUGCAGCCACCAUAUGGAGAGGAAUUCAGUCUCUAUCCCCUGUGAGUCCCUACCCAGUCUUCAGCAGGUAGGAGCCUCAGCUUGGGACUACAGAACAGCUACCUCACCCACAGCUGACCGUUCCACUGCUAGUGGCUCCGUGUUUCCCUAGGGGAGGGGCACCCAGAAGCAACUAAAAGCCCCUCUGCUACUGCUGCUGCAGUGGUACUGCCCUUGCUGCCCUCGGACUGGGGAAGGAACAAAGACUCUAAGUGCUUUACCCAAAAGUUGUAGUUGCAGUUGCCCUAAGGAGAAGAAGAAGCCAGUCUGCCUCCUCCAAGAGCCUGCCCCAUUUCCUUGGUACCGUGGAUCCCCAGGAUCAGGCCCACAACUCAGCCUCCCCAUCCCAGGCUAAUUGCACCCAUUGGUAGUGGUUCUGCAUUUCUCUGGAGUGGAGAUCCAAGAAACAAGUGAAAGGCCCUCUGCCUCAGCUGCUGCCAAGGUAGCUUCUCCUCUUGCUUACAAGCUGGGGAAGGAAAAUAAAGCCUAAAAAGCUGAGUUCACCCCAGGACAGUGGUGUACAGUUCGGGAUUGCCAAGACAAGAUCUGCAGCCAGCACUCGAGUGGGAGAGGAGCCCACACUUUCCAGGCCCUGAGAGAAAGCAGGCUGCAAUUGUGAGGAAAUACAGAGGAGUCACAUGGCUGAGCAAGAGACUAUGUACAGUUCAUUAUGCUUAAGAACCAUCUACUAGAUCACAGCCCAAACUUCAACAUCAAAAUAUUUUGCUAAUAUACCCCCUUGUGAAACCAAGAAGAAGAACUCAGCAACAACUAAAGACUUUGCACAAAGUCUCAGCCUUCUGAAAACAUCAAGAAAAGAAGUCACCUCACUGUACACUGCAGUUAAAGGACCAUCAGCCCACACGAUAAGAAAGAACCCACACAGAAACUCUGCAAUUCAAAAAGCCACAGUGUUUUCUUUCCCCCAAAUGACUACACUAAUUCCCCAGAAAGGCUUCUUAACCAGGCUGAAAUGGCUGAAAUGACAAAAAUAUAUUUCAGAAUGUGGAUAAGAAUGAAGAUCAUCAAGAUUCAGCAGAAAGUUGAAACCCAAUCCAAGGAAUCUAAAGAUUACAAUAAAAUGAUACAGGAACUAAAAGAUAAAAUGGUUGGUAUAAGAAAGAACCAAACUGACCUGAUAGAGCUGAAAAACACACAACAAGAAUUUCAUAAUGCAAUUGCUAGUAUUAACAACAGAAUAGACCAAGCUGAGGAAAGAAUCUCAGCACUUGAAGACGGGUUCUCCAAACUAACACAGUC